CCUACGGGGUGCUGCAGUGAGGAAUAUUGGUCAAUGGACGCAAGUCUGAACCAGCCAUGCCGCGUGCAGGAAGACGGCUCUAUGAGUUGUAAACUGCUUUUGUACGAGGGUAAACGCAGAUACGCGUAUCUGUCUGAAAGUAUCGUAAGAAUAGGAGCGGACAACUCCGUGCCAGCAGCCGCGGGAAUUAGGAGGAUUCAAGCGUUAUCCGGAUUUAUUGGGUUUAAAGGGUGCGUACGCGGGCGGAUAAGUUAGAGGUGAAAUCCCGAGGCUCAACAUCGGAAUUGCCUCUGAUACUGUUCGGCUAGAGAGUAGUAGCGGUAGGCGGAAUGUAUGGUGUAGCGGUGAAAUGCUUAGAGAUCAUACAGAACACCGAUUGCGAAGGCAGCUUACCGAGCUGCUACUGACGUUGAGGCACGAAAGCGUGGGGAGCAAACAGGAUUAGAUACCCGAGUAGUC
This 459-nucleotide ribosomal RNA is filed under the name uncultured bacterium. RNAcentral describes it as "partial 16S ribosomal RNA". It matches the Rfam family "Bacterial small subunit ribosomal RNA", at positions 338 to 795 of the family's 1533-position model. The record is from RNAcentral.